Molecule: long non-coding RNA, 357 nt
Organism: Ictalurus punctatus (channel catfish)
Lineage: Eukaryota; Metazoa; Chordata; Actinopteri; Siluriformes; Ictaluridae
Source: Ensembl
CGCCACUGUGAUAAUCACCGGCAGUCACUGAGAGAGAGCGAGAGAGCGAGAAAGAAAGAAAGAAAGAGAGAGAGAGAGAGAGAGAGAGAGAGAGAGAGAGAGAGAGAGAAAGAGAGAGAGAUGGAGAUUCUAAAGUAAACAUUAGGGACUCCCAUGGCAAGAUGGCUACUCAUUACUGGAAUGGAUGCAUGGAUGUUUUCCAAAAAUCUGACUCCCAGUCAGUCAAACAGAAUGUCUACUACAGGAGCUUUGUAUAAAGUGGUCAUGAGAGAGUUGGAGUCAGUACUAUGCCCUGUUAUCAGCUCGGCUGUCUCGCUCUGGCAAUCAGAGAAGCCUCAGUACAGAACUGGAGCCUGA